RNAcentral lists this ribosomal RNA (402 nucleotides) under uncultured bacterium. RNAcentral describes it as "partial 16S ribosomal RNA". It matches the Rfam family "Archaeal small subunit ribosomal RNA", at positions 473 to 873 of the family's 1478-position model. The record is from RNAcentral.
ACACCGGCAGCUCAAGUGGUAGCCGCUUUUAUUGGGCCUAAAGCGUCCGUAGCCGGUCUGAUAAGUCUCUGGUGAAAUCCCACAGCUUAACUGUGGGAAUUGCUGGAGAUACUAUCAUGACUCGAGGUCGGGAGAGGCUGGAGGUACCCCCUGGGUAGGGGUGAAAUCCUGUAAUCCUGGGAGGACCACCUGUGGCGAAGGCGUCCAGCUGGAACGAACCUGACGGUGAGGGACGAAAGCCAGGGGCGCGAACCGGAUUAGAUACCCGGGUAGUCCUGGCCGUAAACGAUGUGGACUUGGUGUUGGGAUGGCUUCGAGCUGCCCCAGUGCCGAAGGGAAGCUGUUAAGUCCACCGCCUGGGAAGUACGGCCGCAAGGCUGAAACUUAAAGGAAUUGACGGGG